Molecule: ribosomal RNA, 584 nt
Filed under: Neocaridina denticulata (Japanese swamp shrimp)
Lineage: Eukaryota; Metazoa; Arthropoda; Malacostraca; Decapoda; Atyidae
Description: partial 16S ribosomal RNA
Rfam family: Bacterial large subunit ribosomal RNA
Source: RNAcentral
UUCGCCUGUUUAUCAAAAACAUGUCUGUGUGAACAUAUAUGCGCAGUCUGGCCUGCCCCCUGAAAAUUUUAAAGGGCCGCGGUAUUUGAACCGUGCUAAGGUAGCAUAAUAAAUAGUCUUUUAAUUGAGGUCUAGUAUGAAUGGUCGGACAGGAGGUAAGCUGUUUUAAUUGUAGAUUUUGAAUUUUACUUUUAAGUGAAAAGGCUUAGAUUAAAUAAUGGGACGAUAAGACCCUAUAAAGCUUUACAUUUUAUUUAUUAGUCGGAAAAUUUAUGGUUUUUUAUUCUUUUUAAAUAAAAUGUUUCGUUGGGGCGACGAAAAUAUAAAAUAAUAACUGUUUUAAUAUAAAAAUAUUUUUUAUAGGUGUAUUGAUCCUUUUUAGAGAUUAAAAGAAUUAAGUUACUUUAGGGAUAACAGCGUAAUUUUUCUUGAGAGUCCAUAUCGACAGAAAUAGUUGCGACCUCGAUGUUGAAUUAAGAUUUCUUCAAGAUGUAGCAGUUUUGGCGGUGGGUCUGUUCGACCUUUAAAAUCUUACAUGAUUUGAGUUCAGACCGGCGCAAGCCAGGUGAGUUUCUAUCUUUUCA